This 468-nucleotide ribosomal RNA is filed under the name uncultured bacterium. RNAcentral describes it as "partial 16S ribosomal RNA". It matches the Rfam family "Bacterial small subunit ribosomal RNA", at positions 28 to 507 of the family's 1533-position model. The record is from RNAcentral.
GACGAACGCUGGCGGCGUGCUUAACACAUGCAAGUCGAACGGAAAGGCCCUGCUUUUGUGGGGUGCUCGAGUGGCGAACGGGUGAGUAACACGUGAGUAACCUGCCCCUGACUUUGGGAUAACUUCAGGAAACUGGGGCUAAUACCGGAUAGGAGCUCCUGCUGCAUGGUGGGGGUUGGAACGUUUGGGCGGUUGGGGCUGGACUCGGGGUUUAUCAGCUUGUUGGUGGGGUAGUGGCUUACCAAGGCUUUGCCGGAUAGCCGGCCUGAGAGGGGGACCGGCCACAUUGGGACUGAGAUACGGCCCAGACUCCUACGGGAGGCAGCAGUGGGGAAUAUUGCACAAUGGGGGGAAGCCUGAUGCAGCAACGCCGCGUGCGGGAUGACGGCCUUCGGGUUGUAAACCGCUUUCGCCUGUGACGAAGCGUGAGUGACGGUAAUGGGUAAAGAAGCACCGGCUAACUACGUG